This 90-nucleotide small nucleolar RNA is filed under the name Mesocricetus auratus (golden hamster). RNAcentral describes it as "Small nucleolar RNA U13". It matches the Rfam family "Small nucleolar RNA U13". Lineage: Eukaryota; Metazoa; Chordata; Mammalia; Rodentia; Cricetidae. The record is from Rfam by way of RNAcentral.
AUCCUUGUGAUGAAUGGGGAUUCACACCACUGCUUGUGGUUUGCUGCCCAUUAAGCCUGGUCAUGACGUGGGCACAUUACCCAUCUGGGU